Peromyscus maniculatus bairdii (prairie deer mouse) is the source of this 591-nucleotide non-coding RNA. The record is from RefSeq and is a predicted model, not a curated record. Lineage: Eukaryota; Metazoa; Chordata; Mammalia; Rodentia; Cricetidae.
GUAGUUUUGUGCUAGCAACUGCAUUGGAGCCUAGAGAUGAAUCACAUUCUUUGUGACAAUGGAACAGAAAUAAGAGUGAGCAAAUGGACCCCAGAAAGCUGAUGAACACUUAAGUGAAUGCACUGAGGGUCACAGUUGAAUAACAUUCAAGAGGCCAGAUUAAAGAUCAGGGGAGCUUUAACCUAGGUCAAAGGAGCCUGGCAAACUCUUGAACCCUGAGAGUACACACAGCACACAGCGAUACCCACCAAAUGGCCAGCAAUGCAAUCAGUCCUCAAGAAUAUAACUGAGAUGAAAAACGUCCUGCUGAUGACAGAUGAGCGACACACAGAGUGGGACACAAAUUCGCUGAAGCAUUUCCUGGUGUCUUCUCCUUACAAGCAUUUGUUGGGGAUUAUUUAAUUUUUCUGUUUCCUGUCUUUUCCCAUUUUACGAACGAGGGGAAAUAAGGCAAAAAGAAGCCAUUUGUCUAAGCAGGCAUAGCUACUUACCACCAGAAACUAAAGCCCUCUAUGAAGCUACAGGACUCCACAUCACUGUCUGCUCCUACAUGCAGCUCUCCUUAAUUUAGAAGAGAAAAUUGUAUUUCCA